AAUAGAUACCCUGGUAGUCCACGCCGUAAACGAUGAGUGCUAAGUGUUAGGGGGUUUCCGCCCCUUAGUGCUGCAGCUAACGCAUUAAGCACUCCGCCUGGGGAGUACGGUCGCAAGACUGAAACUCAAAGGAAUUGACGGGGGCCCGCACAAGCGGUGGAGCAUGUGGUUUAAUUCGAAGCAACGCGAAGAACCUUACCAGGUCUUGACAUCCCGUUGACCACUGUAGAGAUAUAGUUUCCCCUUCGGGGGCAACGGUGACAGGUGGUGCAUGGUUGUCGUCAGCUCGUGUCGUGAGAUGUUGGGUUAAGUCCCGCAACGAGCGCAACCCUUGAUCUUAGUUGCCAUCAUUUAGUUGGGCACUCUAAGGUGACUGCCGGUGACAAACCGGAGGAAGGUGGGGAUGACGUCAAAUCAUCAUGCCCCUUAUGACCUGGGCUACACACGUGCUACAAUGGACGAUACAAAACGGUUGCCAACUCGCGAGAGGGAGCUAAUCCGAUAAAGUCGUUCUCAGUUCGGAUUGUAGG
Molecule: ribosomal RNA, 530 nt
Filed under: uncultured bacterium
Lineage: Bacteria
Description: bacterial SSU rRNA
Rfam family: Bacterial small subunit ribosomal RNA
Source: RNAcentral